UUGGAGGGCAAGUCUGGUGCCAGCAGCCGCGGUAAUUCCAGCUCCAAUAGCGUAUAUUAAAGUUGUUGCAGUUAAAAAGCUCGUAGUUGAAUUUCGGGAUCAAAUUGUCGGUCGUGCCUCGGUACGCACUGGUAUUAUUGGUUCCUACCUUCUGAAGAACCGCGAUGUCAUUAAUUUGGUGUCGUGGGGAAUCAGGACUGUUACUUUGAAAAAAUUAGAGUGUUUAAAGCAGGCUUACGCUUGAAUACAUUAGCAUGGAAUAAUGAAAUAGGACGUUUGAUUCUAUUUUGUUGGUUUCUAGGAUUGACGUAAUGAUUAAUAGGGAUAGUUGGGGGCAUUAGUAUUCAAUUGUCAGAGGUGAAAUUCUUGGAUUUAUUGAAGACUAACUACUGCGAAAGCAUUUGCCAAGGAUGUUUUCAUUAAUCAAGAACGAAAGUUAGGGGAUCGAAGACGAUCAGAUACCGUCGUAGUCUUAACCAUAAACUAUGCCGACUAGAGAUCGGAUGAUGUUAAUUUUUUAAUGACUCAUUCGGCGCCUUACGGGAAAC
Molecule: ribosomal RNA, 548 nt
Filed under: uncultured Glomeromycotina
Lineage: Eukaryota; Fungi; Glomeromycota
Description: SSU rRNA
Rfam family: Eukaryotic small subunit ribosomal RNA
Source: RNAcentral